This 492-nucleotide ribosomal RNA is filed under the name uncultured bacterium. RNAcentral describes it as "partial 16S ribosomal RNA". It matches the Rfam family "Bacterial small subunit ribosomal RNA", at positions 29 to 507 of the family's 1533-position model. The record is from RNAcentral.
AGUGAACGCUGGCGGUAGGCCUAACACAUGCAAGUCGAACGGCAGCACAGUAAGAGCUUGCUCUUACGGGUGGCGAGUGGCGGACGGGUGAGGAAUACAUCGGAAUCUACUUUUUCGUGGGGGAUAACGUAGGGAAACUUACGCUAAUACCGCAUACGACCUACGGGUGAAAGCAGGGGAUCUUCGGACCUUGCGCGAUUGAGUGAGCCGAUGUCGGAUUAGCUAGUUGGCGGGGUAAAGGCCCACCAAGGCGACGAUCCGUAGCUGGUCUGAGGGGAUGAUCAGCCACACUGGAACUGAGACACGGUCCAGACUCCUACGGGAGGCAGCAGUGGGGAAUAUUGGACAAUGGGCGCAAGCCUGAUCCAGCCAUACCGCGUGGGUGAAGAAGGCCUUCGGGUUGUAAAGCCCUUUUGUUGGGAAAGAAAAGCAGCAGGUUAAUACCCCGCUGUUCUGACGGUACCCAAAGAAUAAGCACCGGCUAACUUCGUG